UGGGGAAUCUUGCACAAUGGGGGCAACCCUGAUGCAGCGACGCCGCGUGAGCGAUGAAGCCCUUCGGGGCGUAAAGCUCUUUCGACCGGAACGAUAAUGACGGUACCGGGAGAAGAAGCUGCGGCUAACUACGUACCAGCAGCCGCGGUAAUACGUAGGCAGCAAGCGUUGUUCGGAGUUACUGGGCGUAAAGAGUGCGUAGGCGGUUUUCUAAGUUCGGUGUGAAAUCUCCCGGCUUAACUGGGAGGGUGCGCCGAAGACUGGGAAGCUGGAGUGUGGGAAAGGCAGGCGGAAUUCCUGGUGUAGCAGUGAAAUGCGUAGAUAUCAGGAGGAACACCUGCGGUGUAGACGGCUUGCUAGACCAUAACUGACGCUGAGGCACGAAAGCGUGGGUAGCAAACA
This 402-nucleotide ribosomal RNA is filed under the name uncultured bacterium. Its description in RNAcentral is "bacterial SSU rRNA". It matches the Rfam family "Bacterial small subunit ribosomal RNA", at positions 355 to 774 of the family's 1533-position model. The record is from RNAcentral.